This is a long non-coding RNA of Gastrolobium bilobum, 525 nucleotides long. RefSeq lists it as uncharacterized. The transcript is spliced from 3 exons. The record is from RefSeq and is a predicted model, not a curated record. Lineage: Eukaryota; Viridiplantae; Streptophyta; Magnoliopsida; Fabales; Fabaceae.
ACAGAAAGGAGGAGAAGAGAAGAGAGGGAGAAGAGAGGAAGAAGGAGGGAAAACCUAGUGGGAGCAAAUCCCAACCGUUUUGGGUGAUUCAAAAGCCUAAACUACUCUAAAUCUUCCCCUCUUUCAUAAUCCUAGCUUGGUUUUGAGUGGGAGUCCUUGUGGAGAGAGAUAUUGGUCCCCAAAGAUUCGCCCCUUUUGAGAAGUGUGGGGUUUUGGGAGUUUCUACCUCCAUGGAAGCUUGAGGAACACUCAUUCCUCUAUUGUGUGAUCAUUGGUGGAUUGAGGCAAGAGGACCAAGUGGAGUGACCAACCCUUGGGGUUGUGUGCAAUUGAGGAAAGCUCAAAGAGCAAGGUACUGAUAGAGGUGAGGUUGAUCGAGGCAAGAAGCGUGAGUAGACUGUACCUGAUAGCUGGACAUGUUGAGUUGCAUGCCAUUUAGCAUUGCUAUAUGUAUAUUUUGAUGCCACAUGAUGUAUUUUGGAGGACUUAGUGCAUGAUCAUUGUAGUAGUAAUGGGUAUCUGAUA